Molecule: ribosomal RNA, 440 nt
Filed under: uncultured bacterium
Lineage: Bacteria
Description: partial 16S ribosomal RNA
Rfam family: Bacterial small subunit ribosomal RNA
Source: RNAcentral
CCUACGGGCGGCAGCAGUGGGGAAUAUUGCACAAUGGGGGGAACCCUGAUGCAGCGACGCCGCGUGAGUGAAGAAGUAUUUCGGUAUGUAAAGCCCUAUCAGCAGGGAAGAAAAUGACGGUACCUGACUAAGAAGCCGCGGCUAACUACGUGCCAGCAGCCGCGGUAAUACGGAGGGGGCAAGCGUUAUACGGAUUUACUGGGUGUAAAGGGAGCGCAGAGGGCUGUACAGGUCUGGAGGUAAAGGCGGGGGCCCCACCCCCGGAGUGCUGGUGAAACUGGAAAGCUGGAGUGCAGGAGAGGUAAGCGGAAUUCCUAGUGUAGCGGUGAAAUGCGUAGAUAUUAGGAGGAACACCAGUGGCGAAGGCGGCUUACUGGACUGCAACUGACGUUGAGGCUCGAAAGCGUGGGGAGCAAACAGGAUUAGAUACCCUAGUAGUC